UCUGAAUGGGGAAACCCACCCACGGUAACGUGGGUAUCCCACACUGAAUCCAUAGGUGUUGGGAGGCGAACCGGGGGAACUGAAACAUCUCAGUACCCCGAGGAAAAGAAAUCAACCGAGAUUCCCCCAGUAGCGGCGAGCGAACGGGGACCAGCCCUUAAGCAUGUGACGGAUUAGGCGAACGUGCUGGGAAGCACGGCCAUAGCGGGUGAUAGCCCCGUAGCCGAAAAUCUGAUCAUGUGAAAUCGAGUAGGUCGGGGCACGAGAAACCUUGACUGAAGACGGGGGGACCAUCCUCCAAGGCUAAAUACUCCUGGCUGACCGAUAGUGAACCAGUACCGUGAGGGAAAGGCGAAAAGAACCCCGGAGAGGGGAGUGAAAUAGAUCCUGAAACCGUAUGCGUACAAGCAGUGGGAGCAUGCAGGUCAUGUGACCGCGUACCUUUUGUAUAAUGGGUCAGCGACUUAUUUUCAGUGGCGAGCUUAACCGUAUAGGGGAGGCGUAGCGAAAGCGAGUCUUAACUGGGCGACCAGUCGCUGGAAAUAGACCCGAAACCGGGCGAUCUAUCCAUGAGCAGGUUGAAGGUUGAGUAACAUCAACUGGAGGACCGAACCAGGAUCUGUUGAAAAAGAUUUGGAUGACUUGUGGAUCGGAGUGAAAGGCUAAUCAAGCCCGGAGAUAGCUGGUUCUCCUCGAAAGCUAUUUAGGUAGCGCCUCACGUAGCACCGCCGGGGGUAGAGCACUGUUUCGGCUAGGGGGUCAUCCCGACUUACCAACCCGAGGCAAACUCCGAAUACCGGUGAGUGACGCGUGGGAGACACACAGCGGGUGCUAACGUCCGUUGUGAAAAGGGAAACAACCCAGACCGUCAGCUAAGGUCCCGAAAUCCUGGUUAAGUGGGAAACGAUGUGGGAAGGCUCAGACAGCUAGGAGGUUGGCUUAGAAGCAGCCAUCCUUUAAAGAAAGCGUAAUAGCUCACUAGUCGAGUCGGCCUGCGCGGAAGAUGUAACGGGGCUCAAACCAGGUACCGAAGCUACGGGUUCGUCGAAUGACGAGCGGUAGAGGAGCGUCGUGUAAGCCGACGAAGGUGGAUCGAGAGGUCUGCUGGAGGUAUCACGAGUGCGAAUGCUGACAUGAGUAACGACAAGGGGAGUGAAAAACUCCCCCGCCGGAAGACCAAGG
This 1182-nucleotide ribosomal RNA is filed under the name Halomonas gemina. RNAcentral's name for it is "partial 23S ribosomal RNA". It matches the Rfam family "Bacterial large subunit ribosomal RNA", at positions 113 to 1350 of the family's 2925-position model. The record is from RNAcentral. Lineage: Bacteria; Pseudomonadati; Pseudomonadota; Gammaproteobacteria; Oceanospirillales; Halomonadaceae.